AAAAGAUUCCUUCAGACUUCCUGAUCCAUUUGCAAAAAUAGUAGUAGACGGAUCAGGUCAGUGCCAUUCAACUGACACUGUGAAGAACACAUUAGACCCCAAGUGGAACCAGCAUUAUGAUCUAUAUGUUGGGAAAACAGAUUCUAUAACCAUCAGUGUAUGGAAUCACAAGAAAAUACACAAGAAACAGGGAGCUGGCUUCCUGGGGUGUGUCCGUCUCCUUUCCAAUGCCAUCAGCAGACUAAAAGAUA
Molecule: non-coding RNA, 251 nt
Organism: Chelonoidis abingdonii (Abingdon island giant tortoise)
Lineage: Eukaryota; Metazoa; Chordata; Testudines; Testudinidae
Source: RefSeq, a predicted model, not a curated record